AGAGUUUGAUCCUGGCUCAGAUUGAACGCUGGCGGCAUGCUUUACACAUGCAAGUCGAACGGUAACGCGGGGCAACCUGGCGACGAGUGGCGAACGGGUGAGUAAUGCAUCGGAACGUGCCCAGUAGUGGGGGAUAGCCCGGCGAAAGCCGGAUUAAUACCGCAUACGACCUACGGGUGAAAGCGGGGGACCGUAAGGCCUCGCGCUAUUGGCGCGGCCGAUGUCAGAUUAGGUAGUUGGUGGGGUAAAGGCCUACCAAGCCUACGAUCUGUAGCUGGUCUGAGAGGACGACCAGCCACACUGGGACUGAGACACGGCCCAGACUCCUACGGGAGGCAGCAGUGGGGAAUUUUGGACAAUGGGCGCAAGCCUGAUCCAGCCAUGCCGCGUGCGGGAAGAAGGCCUUCGGGUUGUAAACCGCUUUUGUCAGGGAAGAAAUCCUUUGGGUUAAUACCCCGGGGGGAUGACGGUACCUGAAGAAUAAGCACCGGCUAACUACGUGCCAGCAGCCGCGGUAAUACGUAGGGUGCAAGCGUUAAUCGGAAUUACUGGGCGUAAAGCGUGCGCAGGCGGUUUUGUAAGACAGAGGUGAAAUCCCCGGGCUCAACCUGGGAACUGCCUUUGUGACUGCAGGGCUUGAGUGCGGCAGAGGGGGAUGGAAUUCCGCGUGUAGCAGUGAAAUGCGUAGAUAUGCGGAGGAACACCGAUGGCGAAGGCAAUCCCCUGGGCCUGCACUGACGCUCAUGCACGAAAGCGUGGGGAGCAAACAGGAUUAGAUACCCCGGUAGUCCAA
This 793-nucleotide ribosomal RNA is filed under the name uncultured bacterium. RNAcentral's name for it is "bacterial SSU rRNA". It matches the Rfam family "Bacterial small subunit ribosomal RNA", at positions 8 to 798 of the family's 1533-position model. The record is from RNAcentral.